CCUACGGGGGGCAGCAGUGGGGAAUCUUGCGCAAUGGGCGAAAGCCUGACGCAGCGACGCCGCGUGAGUGAUGAAGGCCUUCGGGUUGUAAAGCUCUGUGGGGAGAGAAGAAUUAGUGUGGGCUAAUCACCACAUGAUGACGGUAUCUCCUUAGCAAGCACCGGCUAACUCUGUGCCAGCAGCCGCGGUAAGACAGAGGGUGCAAACGUUGUUCGGAAUUACUGGGCGUAAAGCGUGUGUAGGCGGUCUGAUGAGUCGGAUGUGAAAGCCCCGGGCUCAACCCGGGAAGUGCACUCGAUACUGUUAGGCUAGAGUACUGGAGAGGUUGGUGGAAUUCUCGGUGUAGAGGUGAAAUUCGUAGAUAUCGAGAGGAACACCGGUGGCGAAGGCGGCCAACUGGACAGAUACUGACGCUGAGACACGAAAGCGUGGGGAGCAAACAGGAUUAGAUACCCUGGUAGUC
Molecule: ribosomal RNA, 463 nt
Filed under: uncultured Myxococcales bacterium
Lineage: Bacteria; Pseudomonadati; Myxococcota; Myxococcia; Myxococcales
Description: bacterial SSU rRNA
Rfam family: Bacterial small subunit ribosomal RNA
Source: RNAcentral